UGUGGGUGGCAGGAGGUGAGGCUGGACCUCUCAUGCCCAGGCCCUGUCUCACACACAGGGGCAGAGCCAAGGGCAGCAUAAAAGGGCCUGUGGCCAGAGGCUCUCCAUCCUCAUCCACUCCUGUCCUGAAGUGCUGAGAGCUGAGCUGCUAGUACCUGGUCCUGAACUCCACUUACCAGCAUGUCCUGCCAGCAGAGCCAGCAGCAGUGCCAGCCCCCUCCCAAGUGCACCCCCAAGUGCCCUCCCAAAUGUCAGACCCCCAAGUGUCCCCCAAAGUGUCCCCCCAAGUGUGCCCCUGUGUCCUCCUGUUGCAGCUCUGGGGGUGGGGGCUGCUGUAGCUCUGGGGGUGGGGGCUGCUGCAGUUCUGGGGGUGGAAGCUGCUGCAGCUCUGGGGGUGGGGGCUGCUGCCUGAGCCACCACAGGCCGCGCAGGUCCCACCGCCACAGGCAGAGCUCUGGCUGCUGCAGCCAUUCCUCAGGGGGCUCCAGCAGCUGUGGAGGGGGCUCCAGCUGCUGUGGAGGGGGCUCCAGCAGCUGUGGAGGGGGGAGCACUCAAUCCUCUGGAGGCUGCUGCUGAAGGCUACUCCUAGCCAAGAAGAGCUGAUUUGUGACAGCAAAUGGCUCCAAGCUUUUGCACCACCUUCUGAUUAUUCCGGGAUUCCCCUGAGUAACUAUUAUAUUUCAGCAAGCAUCAGGUUUCCAAUUUGAGAUCUACGUUAAGACUCUGAAACCUGAGUUCUCUUCAAAGAAAGUUUUCUGCUGACCUUUGAUAUCAGCUGGCAGACUCUGAUAGGAUUCUGAAGUCUCCUUUGACAUUCUCUAUCAUAUCCUCUUAGUGUCAGCUGAUUUAAAUAAAAUAAAGAACCUGUGCAUCA
Molecule: long non-coding RNA, 874 nt
Organism: Erinaceus europaeus (western European hedgehog)
Lineage: Eukaryota; Metazoa; Chordata; Mammalia; Eulipotyphla; Erinaceidae
Exons: 2
Source: RefSeq, a predicted model, not a curated record